UGGGGUAUAUUGCACAAUGGGCGAAAGCCUGAUGCAGCGACGCCGCGUGGGGGAUGAAGGCUUUCGGGUUGUAAACCUCUUUCGCUAUCGAACAAGGCCCGCUUAGGGUGGGUUGAGGGUAGGUGGAGAAGAAGCGCCGGCUAACUACGUGCCAGCAGCCGCGGUAAUACGUAGGGCGCGAGCGUUGUCCGGAAUUAUUGGGCGUAAAGGGCUUGUAGGCGGCUUGUUGCGCCUGCUGUGAAAACGCGGGGCUUAACUUCGCGCGUGCAGUGGGUACGGGCAGGCUUGAGUGUGGUAGGGGUGACUGGAAUUCCAGGUGUAGCGGUGGAAUGCGCAGAUAUCUGGAGGAACACCGAUGGCGAAGGCAGGUCACUGGGCCAUUACUGACGCUGAGGAGCGAAAGCAUGGGUAGCGAACAGG
Molecule: ribosomal RNA, 420 nt
Filed under: bacterium
Lineage: Bacteria
Description: partial 16S ribosomal RNA
Rfam family: Bacterial small subunit ribosomal RNA
Source: RNAcentral